This 314-nucleotide long non-coding RNA is filed under the name Equus caballus (horse). RNAcentral describes it as "lncRNA (ENSECAG00000050564.1)". The record is from RNAcentral. Lineage: Eukaryota; Metazoa; Chordata; Mammalia; Perissodactyla; Equidae.
CCAUGACUCAGUCCAGCUGGGACCCUGCCCCGUAAACACCUACAGAGGACAGUAACUCCUUCUUGCUUAAAAAGAAGUUUCUUCCUGUCUUCAGACCCUUAGAAAGCCCAUUAGGAACUAAGGAGAAGAAAGUCACCUAGAAAAACAAUGCUUAAACCUACAACUAUUAUUCUAAUAUGAAAGAUAUUAAAGGAGCUGUACAAUUUCUACUGGAGGACAGCCACAACUGCUAAAAAGGAAACGGAUUCUAAAGAGAAAAUUGAGAUUUCUCUGUUGUAACUAAGCAGAGUAAUAUAAAAUAAAGUAUAGAGGAG